RNAcentral lists this ribosomal RNA (549 nucleotides) under uncultured bacterium. Its description in RNAcentral is "bacterial SSU rRNA". It matches the Rfam family "Bacterial small subunit ribosomal RNA", at positions 355 to 896 of the family's 1533-position model. The record is from RNAcentral.
UAGGGAAUCUUCCACAAUGGGUGCAAACCUGAUGGAGCAAUGCCGCGUGAGUGAAGAAGGUCUUCGGAUCGUAAAGCUCUGUUGUUAGAGAAGAACACGUGCUAGGUAACUACUAGCGCCUUGACGGUAUCUAACCAGAAAGUCACGGCUAACUACGUGCCAGCAGCCGCGGUAAUACGUAGGUGACAAGCGUUGUCCGGAUUUAUUGGGCGUAAAGGGAGCGCAGGCGGUCUGUUUAGUCUAAUGUGAAAGCCCACGGCUUAACCGUGGAACGGCAUUGGAAACUGACAGACUUGAAUGUAGAAGAGGAAAAUGGAAUUCCAAGUGUAGCGGUGGAAUGCGUAGAUAUUUGGAGGAACACCAGUGGCGAAGGCGAUUUUCUGGUCUAACAUUGACGCUGAGGCUCGAAAGCGUGGGGAGCGAACAGGAUUAGAUACCCUGGUAGUCCACGCCGUAAACGAUGAGUGCUAAGUGUUGGGGGCUUUCCGGCCCUCGGUGCUGGAGCUAACGUAUUAAGCACUCCGCCUGGGGAUUACGACCGCAAGGUUG